ACCGCGAGAGAGGACAUUUUGAACCGGCUUUAAUAUAUAGUAAAUAAGCUUUGAUCAGCUCGAAUGAUUCCGGGUGUAUUACUAGACAAGCGAACAAGGCCUUACUCGGAUCUAAUCUAGUUACAUUUGCACCUGCGAUGUUCAAUGUCUCAUCUCUGUUCUUUCCGAAGUCUGAACCUGCACAAUGUUACUAUUGCCUCACUUUUCUGAGUAUAAAUUAUCGAGAAAUUGCAUUGAUUACCUUGGAUUUACCUUGAACAGCAUGGGAUCCACUGAAUCCAAAACGGGCAUCCCUGCUGUUUGCUCCAUCUUGUUUUUUGGUUCUGGCCUAAUAUUUAAUUUUUUAUUGCAGGCAGAGACUCAGAAUUACAGGUGAAAAUCAAGACAGACAUAUCUACAUUCAUGAUCUCGUUAGCUUUAUUUUUUCCUGAAAAAUAUUUCGCGUGCUUCAACAUCAGUUCAGUUAUUUUCCAAUAUAUGGGACAGUAGGAUACAUUUGUUUGGAUGCAACAAUUCCAAUUAAUGAAUAGUAUGAGCCCUCCAACUUUAUCUACCACAAUGUCACGUGGACAAGCAAUGGUCAGCUCGUUGGAACAAAAUAGUUUUUCCUAGGAUCCGUUAUGACCAGAGGGGUGAAUAGAUUUGGUAAAAACAACACUUAAAAUCGUGAUAGCAACAGGUGUGGUACUAUCGUUUGAAGCCUUGCACUGGUGUGCACAGACCUUAUUAAUGUCAUAAUUCAAAAUCUGCCCAAAGAUACAAGUAAAUUAUUGAGCUCCCUAGAUACAGUAAAGCAUAAUUCACCACUUAAAAGUUGUUGUAGAAGCACAAAGUAGUAGAUCGGGUCCCAACCCUUGAGCCACCUUAUAAACAAGUAAUGCAUAAUAUAAAAAACACAAAACAGUAGGAUUUACUCCAAACACUCUACCAAAGUUUGCCUACCAACAUGUUAUUGAGGAAGACACAAAAGCUUGGAUAUCUCAAAUCAUAUCCACUUUCUGAAGUCAAAAGAGUCAACUCUUGAGAUGAGUGGUUGAAGGAUCGAAAAGGGCGACUACAGGGUGUGAAUGAGAGCCACUAAAAAUUCUCAAUCUAGCACGUUACUUCAUUCUUGAACUCAAUUCAAAUCUCUAGAGGCACCAAAACACUCCAAAAAGGAACAAUUCAAUCAAGUGUCGAUUGGCUACACCAACCAAAAUCCAAAGGAGUUCUUUAGGACAAGCGAUAGUGUUGGGCACAUAUCUAGCAAUGCCGGUGAGCGGCAUUGCCGUGCAAGAUCCAUCAGUGUCGCGUGUCAGAGCGGUAGUGUCGCUUAACAAAGAAUGAUCCAAUUGACUUCAAAUUUUGCAGACAGCAAGCGUUGAAGAAGUGAUUUGUGAAGUUUGAGUAAAAAAGAUCAAAACUUUCCAGACGGAUCCAAAAACACAGACACGAUUAGGGUUUUAAUGUGUUUUUGACAUUUGAUCAAAACGAUUAGAAACCACUACAAGAACUUAAUCAGUUCAUACUAGAAGUUUGCAGUGAUCACAUGAUUGUUUCUAACCCAGAGAAAAUCCCCAAAACAUCUCUCCAACACUUGAAACCAGAAAUGAACUUAAAAUCAACUAGAAGGGUUGAGAAGGGAAGAAACAAAUCAAAACCCAAUCCAUCAGAUUUGACAUUUCUAUAUAUGAAGCGCGGACGCAAAGCUUGCACCUCGAUGUUCCACGUCAUUCUCUUUUUUAUGGUCGUUCGAUCCUAUUUCAACGUCAACAAACUGCUUUAUGUUUCCUUCGUUCAGCUACCAUCGGCCGACAAGCGAAACCGGCCUCCAUACUACGCGAUGCUUGCAGAUGAUGCUGGAAGGGAGAGAAAAAAAAGUUCCACACCUCCAGGAGCCUUACUUUGUCGUUGGCUGCCAGGAGCGUCCCCACUCUCCCUCCUCCAGUAUCCCCAUCACCUUUUCUCUCUUCCCAUGAACACAGCCGCACGCCGCCAAGAUCCCCAUUCCCCUUCUGUUACAUGAGCAGCGCCUCACAGGCGGCUCUUGACCCUUAGACCUGGCACACAGUCGUGGCGGCCUUCUCUCGGGCCAUGGGCAGCGACGCAGUUCCACCAUCUGCAAAUGUUGUAGGAAGACGAAUGCACGCCGGGCUUCAUCGUCGAGGUCGUCACCCUCUUCUACGAUGACGCCGACACAUCUCCGGCAUCGCCUCCCAGUUGCCUAUUUGGGUCCUGAAUAUUACAUGAGUCGCAACAGCUCUUCGAGGAGAGUCAUGCUUACAGCUUUGGAGCUGUCCUACCGUGACUAAUAAUAGCCAGCCAGCCCAUGGAUAAAGGUAAGUAUAUUCUCCGUUAAAUCAGGAGAACAACAUGUCAAUAUGAUGAAUAAUACUAUGCCUUGAAGGACCUAAUCGAUCAAAAAAACUGGGAUUUAGCUAAAUUAAUUGUCUUACAAAGAUUUAUACGGUUGGCUAUGAAUGCGUGGAAGAGUCUGUUGUUGACUGCCCAGACGCCCAACAAUGAAUGAUGUGGUGAAGUAACUUGAGACCUCCAUACAAAAAGAAGGGGCACAAUUGUUAAACUCAGCGUCUUUAUCAUUUGAACAAUUUGUAAACGAAAAUAGACGAGAUGCUUAUUCAGAACAUUUGCUAUGAAUGAUGGAAGCAACAACAACAAUUUUUACUAUAAUAGUGGGUGUUCAUACUCAGCUAUUCAACCAAAGUAGAUAAUAAUCUCCGCUCUUUGUUUUUUGUUGAAGGAUGUAUUAUAUGACAUUAAUCGUUUCAGCAAGUUACCUGGUGAAUAAUCUUUUAGUAAGUUAUUAGAGUGAUUGUAUC
Long non-coding RNA from Zea mays, 2819 nucleotides. RefSeq lists it as uncharacterized. The transcript has 2 exons. Lineage: Eukaryota; Viridiplantae; Streptophyta; Magnoliopsida; Poales; Poaceae. The record is from RefSeq and is a predicted model, not a curated record.